Molecule: ribosomal RNA, 254 nt
Filed under: uncultured bacterium
Lineage: Bacteria
Description: partial 16S ribosomal RNA
Rfam family: Bacterial small subunit ribosomal RNA
Source: RNAcentral
GACGUAGGGGGCAAGCGUUGUCCGGAUUUAUUGGGCGUAAAGAGCUCGUAGGCGGCUCAGAAAGUCGGGUGUGAAACCUCCAGGCUCAACCUGGAGACGCCACCCGAUACUGCUGUGGCUAGAGUCCGGUAGGGGAGCAUGGAAUUCCUGGUGUAGCGGUGAAAUGCGCAGAUAUCAGGAGGAACACCAGUGGCGAAGGCGGUGCUCUGGGCCGGAACUGACGCUGAGGAGCGAAAGCGUGGGGAGCAAACAGG